RNAcentral lists this ribosomal RNA (137 nucleotides) under uncultured eukaryote. RNAcentral describes it as "partial 18S ribosomal RNA". It matches the Rfam family "Eukaryotic small subunit ribosomal RNA", at positions 1299 to 1458 of the family's 1831-position model. The record is from RNAcentral.
UGGUGGAGUGAUUUGUCUGCUUAAUUGCGAUAACGAACGAGACCUUCCCCUGCUAAAUAGCCAGGCGAGCUUUGGCUCGUCGCGGGCUUCUUAGAGGGACAGUCGGCUCAAGCCGAUGGAAGUUGGAGGCAAUAACA